RNAcentral lists this ribosomal RNA (465 nucleotides) under uncultured bacterium. RNAcentral's name for it is "partial 16S ribosomal RNA". It matches the Rfam family "Bacterial small subunit ribosomal RNA", at positions 28 to 507 of the family's 1533-position model. The record is from RNAcentral.
GACGAACGCUGGCGGCGUGCUUAACACAUGCAAGUCGAACGGAAAGGCCCUGCUUGCAGGGUACUCGAGUGGCGAACGGGUGGGUAACACGUGGGUGAUCUGCCCUGCACUUCGGGAUAAGCCUGGGAAACUGGGUCUAAUACCGGAUAGGAGCCAUUUUUAGUGUGAUGGUUGGAAAGUUUUUUCGGUGUAGGAUGAGCUCGCAGCCUAUCAGCUUGUUGGUGGGGUAAUGGCCUACCAAGGCGGCGACGGGUAGCCGGCCUGAGAGGGUGGACGGCCACAUUGGGACUGAGAUACGGCCCAGACUCCUACGGGAGGCAGCAGUGGGGAAGAUUGCACAAUGGGCGCAAGCCUGAUGCAGCGACGCCGCGGGGGGGAUGACGGCCUUCGGGUUGGAAACUCAUUUCGCUAGGGACGAAGCUUUUUGUGACGGUACCUAGAGAAGAAGCACCGGCUAACUACGUG